RNAcentral lists this ribosomal RNA (977 nucleotides) under uncultured Thermoplasmatales archaeon. Its description in RNAcentral is "bacterial SSU rRNA". It matches the Rfam family "Archaeal small subunit ribosomal RNA", at positions 313 to 1285 of the family's 1478-position model. Lineage: Archaea; Methanobacteriati; Thermoplasmatota; Thermoplasmata; Thermoplasmatales. The record is from RNAcentral.
AACCCAGGCCCUACGGGGCGCAGCAGGCGCGAAACCUUCGCACUGCGCGAAAGCGCCGACCCAGGGGAACCCGAGUGCCUCUCCAUUUCGGGGAGGCUUUUCACAAGCCUAAAAAGCUUGUGGAAUAAGGGCUGGGCAAGACGGGUGCCAGCCGCCGCGGUAAUACCCGCAGCUCGAGUGGUGGUCGCUUUUAUUGAGCCUAAAACGUUCGUAGUCGGCCUUGUAAAUCCCUGGGUAAAUUGGGCCGCUUAACGGUUCAAAUUCCGGGGAGACUGCAAGGCUAGGGACCGGGCGAGGUCAGAGGUACUUUCGGGGUAGGAGUGAAAUCCUGUAAUCCCGAAGGGACCACCUGUGGCGAAAGCGUCUGACUUGAACGGCUCCGACGAUGAGGAACGAAGGCUAGGGGAGCAAACCGGAUUAGAUACCCGGGUAGUCCUAGCUGUAAACUCUGCCCGCUUGGUGUGGCCUGUCCUUCGGGGGCAGGCCGUGCCGGAGCGAAGGUGUUAAGCGGGCUGCUUGGGGAGUACGGCCGCAAGGUUGAAACUUAAAGGAAUUGGCGGGGGAGCACCGCAACGGGAGGAUGCGUGCGGUUUAAUUGGAUUCAACGCCGGAAAACUCACCUGAGGAGACCAGCGUAUGUGGGUCAAGCCGAAGACUUUACCCGAACAACAGCUGGAGAGGUGGUGCAUGGCCAUCGUCAGCUCGUACCGUAGGGCAUUCACUUAAGUGUGAUAACGAGCGAGACCCCCAUCCCUAGUUGCUAACCCCUCCGAAAGGAGGGGUGCACUAUAGGGAGACCGCUUCCGCUAAGGAAGAGGAAGGAGAGGUCGACGGUAGGUCAGUAUGCCCCGAAUCCUCAGGGCAACACGCGCGCUACAAAGGACAGGACAAUGGGUUCCAACCCCGAAAGGGGAAGGUAAUCCCGAAACCUGUUCGUAGUCCGGAUUGAGGGCUGUAACUCGCCCUCAUGAAGGUGG